Molecule: long non-coding RNA, 519 nt
Filed under: Lepidothrix coronata (blue-crowned manakin)
Lineage: Eukaryota; Metazoa; Chordata; Aves; Passeriformes; Pipridae
Description: lncRNA (ENSLCOG00000003429.1)
Source: RNAcentral
CCGCACACCCCGAGUAACCCCUUCCCAAGGAUUUUCGCAUAAAUCACUCUUUGUUCCCGCGCACGGCUGCGGCGGGAUUAAAUCAAGAAUUAAUAUUUUCAACUACGCAAGAGCCCGGUGGCACAGGACGGGGCUGCGCUCCGCGGGGUCAGCGAGCCCCGCGCAGAUCAGGCGAAGAAAUCGCUGGCUCCUCUGGCCAUGAAAAAAACACCGUGUAAAUUGCCAUUUCAGAUUUUUCAAAAAACAUGUUCAGCUCUAAGAAUUCUUCCGAAUUCGUUACACUCCGCCGCGCGAGGCUGCGCCUUGAUGGCCCCGGCGAAGUGACUCAUGUUCCACUGGGUUUUAUUCCUGGGAAGACUUGUGCUGAACCAGAGGAAAGAGCAGAACCUUUGGGGAAGGAAUGGCACGGUUUGGAAAGCAUCAGACACACUCACUGCUCCCUGUCAGAAAAUGAAAGCUCUGGUUUACAUCUCAUGUGAGAAAAUGGCCUUAAAAAUAAAAUAUUGCUUUGAUAACUGG